RNAcentral lists this unclassified non-coding RNA (205 nucleotides) under Hevea brasiliensis (rubber tree). The record is from RNAcentral. Lineage: Eukaryota; Viridiplantae; Streptophyta; Magnoliopsida; Malpighiales; Euphorbiaceae.
UAUAUCUAAGAAACUGCCAACAACAGAGGUAGCCAAACGGCCCGACUCAACAAAAGCAGUAAUUUCUAAAAAACAAGAACAGAACUUUAAUAGAAUCCAUAGAAAAUCCAAACAGCUAGAAAGCCAAAACAAGCUAGAAACAGUACCGCAUUGCGGCUUCCAUUGCCUUCAGCCUCCAUAUGCGGCCACAGCUUCUUAAAAACCU